AUUAAAUAGCAUCUAAAGUUAAACGAGGUAUUUUUCAAAUUUAAAACUAAAGAUAUUAAACGGCUAAAUAAAAAUUAGGUA
Molecule: small RNA, 81 nt
Filed under: Arabidopsis thaliana (thale cress)
Lineage: Eukaryota; Viridiplantae; Streptophyta; Magnoliopsida; Brassicales; Brassicaceae
Description: ATSL098100
Source: RNAcentral